AGUGGCGGACGGGUGAGUAAUGCUUGGGAAUCUGGCUUAUGGAGGGGGAUAACUGUGGGAAACUGCAGCUAAUACCGCGUAUUCUCUGAGGAGGAAAGGGUGGGACCUUAGGGCCACCUGCCAUAAGAUGAGCCCAAGUGGGAUUAGGUAGUUGGUGGGGUAAAGGCCUACCAAGCCUGCGAUCUCUAGCUGGUCUGAGAGGAUGACCAGCCACACUGGAACUGAGACACGGUCCAGACUCCUACGGGAGGCAGCAGUGGGGAAUAUUGCGCAAUGGGGGGAACCCUGACGCAGCCAUGCCGCGUGAAUGAAGAAGGCCUUCGGGUUGUAAAGUUCUUUCGGUAAUGAGGAAGGGAUGUUGUUAAAUAGAUAGCAUCAUUGACGUUAAUUACAGAAGAAGCACCGGCUAACUCCGUGCCAGCAGCCGCGGUAAUACGGAGGGUGCGAGCGUUAAUCGGAAUAACUGGGCGUAAAGGGCACGCAGGCGGACUUUUAAGUGAGAUGUGAAAUCCCCGAGCUUAACUUGGGAACUGCAUUUCAGACUGGGAGUCUAGAGUACUUUAGGGAGGGGUAGAAUUCCACGUGUAGCGGUGAAAUGCGUAGAGAUGUGGAGGAAUACCGAAGGCGAAGGCAGCCCCUUGGGAAUGUACUGACGCUCAUGUGCGAAAGC
This 670-nucleotide ribosomal RNA is filed under the name uncultured Pasteurella sp. RNAcentral's name for it is "bacterial SSU rRNA". It matches the Rfam family "Bacterial small subunit ribosomal RNA", at positions 94 to 760 of the family's 1533-position model. The record is from RNAcentral. Lineage: Bacteria; Pseudomonadati; Pseudomonadota; Gammaproteobacteria; Pasteurellales; Pasteurellaceae.